Long non-coding RNA from Rosa rugosa (rugosa rose), 1053 nucleotides. RefSeq lists it as uncharacterized. The transcript has 6 exons. Lineage: Eukaryota; Viridiplantae; Streptophyta; Magnoliopsida; Rosales; Rosaceae. The record is from RefSeq and is a predicted model, not a curated record.
UCACCAGUAGCACCUCGAAGCCAAGAUUCAGGAACAAGAAGCAAAACCUCAAGAACUGGUCUAAAGUGACUGAACUAGCAGCCUAAGUCGCUGAACCGCAGGCAGAAAAAUAGGACAGAAACUGUUUAGGACAGUUCCGGCCACCACCAGCCAGAAGCAUCUUUUCCCGGCCAACUUCCCAUCAAAAGUUCCGGCGACCCCCAUUUGUCCUUUUCAAGGCUCAAAAUGGCGGGAAAAUGUGUAAACCCCUGAAUCUAUCCAACUAUCCACUCGACCCCUCUGAAACCCCCAAUUUCGAGACACUCUCCGAGACGUUUCUUCAACUUCCAAACCCUGAAACGUUUCGCUUGUAUUCGCUUCCAAACACCACCGAUCACCUCUUCUUCUUCGACCCAAACAUUCGCCAAGGCUCCCAGGCCAUGCUUGAUCAUCUCAGAAGCGCGAGGUUUCGAUGCCGCACAGCUUGGAUUGCUUUAAUUUGGGCCUGAGACUGUAUUAAACGUUCAGUCUUGGCAGAGUAGUUACUAGCUAGCAAGUGAUCAAGAGGCUUUGAAGAAAUUGGUGGAAGUAUUUCAGAAAUCUCAAGAGCAGAAUAAUCCUCCCACAUAUCUGUGUUUGGCUGAAGGAUAUGUUGAUCUAUACCAUACAUCAAGGUUCCAUGUCUAUUAUCGAUGACGCUUUUGAAUGGUUCUCAUGGUUUUCAGCAACGUAUAUGUUAGAAGCAAGUGUCAUUGGUACAAGAAGUUUAAACAUAUCUGUGAUCAAAUCUUUGGUUAACGAUCAAAUACUUGGUAUUAAUUUCAGAGUCAGUCCUGAUGCCUAACCCCUUAUAUAUCCUUUGACACCUAGUAAGCUCCAGAGCCUAUAUGGGGCUGGCUGCAAGCUGGUUCCUUAUUUUCUUUAGCUUUAAAAUCUACAGAGGUCUUGUGAUCUUGUGCAGUUGACAUUCUGGUUUUCUUUACGAACGAAUCCAACAUAGAGUGCUGGAAGACAAGUAGCUGUGGACUCAAAAAGUUUCACGCCUCAACAUUUUAUUAAGCAAGUGAAGGGCCC